GUGAGACAGGUGCUGCAUGGCUGUCGUCAGCUCGUGUUGUGAAAUGUUGGGUUAAGUCCCGCAACGAGCGCAACCCUUAUCCUUUGUUGCCAGCGGUCCGGCCGGGAACUCAAAGGAGACUGCCAGUGAUAAACUGGAGGAAGGUGGGGAUGACGUCAAGUCAUCAUGGCCCUUACGACCAGGGCUACACACGUGCUACAAUGGCGCAUACAAAGAGAAGCGACCUCGCGAGAGCAAGCGGACCUCAUAAAGUGCGUCGUAGUCCGGAUUGGAGUCUGCAACUCGGCUCCAUGAAGUCGGAAUCGCUAGUAAUCGUGGAUCAGAAUGCCACGGUGAAUACGUUCCCGGGCCUUGUACACACCGCCCGUCACACCAUGGGAGUGGGUUGCAAAAGAAGUAGGUAGCUUAACCUUCGGGAGGGCGCUUACCACUUUGUGAUUCAUGACUGGGGUGAAGUCGUAACAAGGUAACCGUAGGGGAACCUGCGGUUGGAUCACCUCCUUACCUUAAAGAAGC
Molecule: ribosomal RNA, 516 nt
Filed under: Escherichia coli
Lineage: Bacteria; Pseudomonadati; Pseudomonadota; Gammaproteobacteria; Enterobacterales; Enterobacteriaceae
Description: bacterial SSU rRNA
Rfam family: Bacterial small subunit ribosomal RNA
Source: RNAcentral